AUUGAACGCUGGCGGUAUGGCUAAAACAUGCAAGUCGAACGACAUAGUGGCGAAAGGGCGAGUAAUGCGAUCGAACGUACCCCGAGGUGGGGGAUAGCCUUUGGAAACGAAGGGUAAUACCCCAUGUCCUCUACGGAGAAAAGCUCCGGCGCCUUGGGAGCGGCGAUCGUCCUAUCAGGUAGUUGGUGAGGUAAAGGCUCACCAAGCCGAAGACGGGUAGCGGGUGUGAGAGCAUGACCCGCCGCAUCGGAACUGAGACACUGUCCGGACUCCUACGGGAGGCUGCAGUAACGAAUCUUCCGCAAUGGGCGCAAGCCUGACGGAGCAAUACCGCGUGUGGGAUGAAGCUUCUACGAAGUGUAAACCACUGUCAGGGUCUCGUACCAACGAACAGACCCAGAGGAAGGACCGGCUAAUUCCG
Molecule: ribosomal RNA, 421 nt
Filed under: uncultured Phycisphaerales bacterium
Lineage: Bacteria; Pseudomonadati; Planctomycetota; Phycisphaerae; Phycisphaerales
Description: bacterial SSU rRNA
Rfam family: Bacterial small subunit ribosomal RNA
Source: RNAcentral